CGUGCGCGCGGCGGCUGGGCCUCGGGCGGGCGGCGGGCAGCGGGCGGAACCAACCCCGACACACGACCCCGACCUCGACCUCGGCCCCGGCCCCGACCCUGCCCCCCAGACCCCGGACCCCGGCCUCCCCGACGGCCGCCUUGUCAGGAGUGGCGGUGUAAUUGCAAGAUGACUCACGCUGGAUGUUUUUAUUCUCCUGAGACCAACCGAGUGCUAGCUCAACUUUCAAGAUCCGGUUCAUUUUGGGGCCUCACCCGGGGAGUCUUGCCUAACUUCCAGCCUCUUGGUCCUCAGUGACUCUUCCCAGGACAAACCGGCAGUCUUACGUAUGUCCUGGAGAUGUUUGUCCCUGGAGUCUUGCGAUCAGAGUUGAGAACCAUGACUUCUUGAAGAAUCUGGAGGGAGCAGAAGUGACCGUUGGAGUCCUGAGCUCUCAUCAGGAAGAGACUUCCAGGCCUUCCUUGGCCUCCCUGGGCGUUCUCAGUGUCACACAGCUCCUGGGUCCGGCCCAGCAACAUGUCCUCUGUCUUAGCCAUGACGUGUGCGUGUGGCUUCUCUCAGGAUUCCCCGAAGCCUGCUGUGGGAGCUCAGGACAGAUUCCCAUGUGGAAAGGGCUGCACGGGACUGGGGUGUAGGCCAAACUACUUGGAACACUGAGCUCUUCUCCAAAAGCACUUAGUUUUCAGUGGGAAGCUGCCAGGGUGCCUUGUUCAAAAGGGGCGUGGACCUUGCAGGAUCGUUCCAACGAUUGUUCUCAAAGAGCCAUCUUAGGACCGUGAGAAGGUAAAGUGCAUGCAGAGAGGGACCUUGUCUUGCUCAUUUUGCUCAUCUCUGGGGGGCUUCCAGCAGUGCCUGGCUGGGGGGCGGGAGACACGUAGAGCCUUAGGUUGGUAGUUGAGCUUCUUAGCGCCGUCCCAGCCGUCCUGCAACAGGCAGAGCUCUGAGCCGGCAAGUGCGCCCCAGAUGGUCCAGACACUGUCAUUUCUGGUGACAGGGCUGGUUCUACCCAGUGGAGGCUGGGAGGCUUGUGGGCAAACUGCAAGCCAAAAGGCCACCAGCCUUCCUCCUUACCCUUCAGUAGAUGCCCAAACUGGAGAGAUGAUAUUAGGUUGUCCCAAGGUCAGCUUCCGGGGCGAAAUCAGCCAAGAUGCUGGCAGCUUUCCAGCUUCCGUAUAGUAUUCCCAGGUCAGUAGCAGGUGCCAGCCCUACCAAGCGACCGCACAGCAACGUCACACGCUUGACUCGGGCCUCCCCUCCCAGACCUCACUCAGGCUUCAGCCUGGUCAUCAUGCCCUCCGCCCACCGCAGCCUGGGUCAAAUUUGCUCUAGGAUGUCGCUUUUACCAGGAAUGAUGGAACAGCCUCAAGGUCUGUUGCUGCGAUUUCAGUGAGGCCAUGGGGACAGUCAUUCAAGUCCAGAGCUGCGCUAUCCCUUAUGACUGCCACAAGCCAGCGUACAGCAGUGGAAAUGGAAAGGAAUUAAAAUGAAAUGCAAUUAAAAUUCAGUUUUGCAUUCAUACUAGGCCACAGCUCAAGUGCUCAUGGGACUCAAGUAGUCACACAUGGCUAGCGACGCCCCUUCUGGCCGGCGCAGAAUGGAAGAUGUGCGUCACAGUGGGAAGUUCUAUUGGGUAUCGCUAGUCUCGAGUGCCCAGAGCCCAGGGCUGCGCGCCCAGCUGACGAGCGGCAAGCUCUCUUUCCAGGGGUGCUCAGACUCAGUGGCACCUGUCACAGCCCCUCUGCACCAUGACUAGGAGAACUUUUCCCACCGUGGCUGGGAAAGGAGGGUAACAGUGUCUCUGCUCCUAUACUUGUUAAUGCAGAGACGCAGGGCAUCCCUACUUGUUACAAGGUUGCAUUAGGUGGAACCACAUGAAAUUGCCUUGUGUGUAGGUUAGAAUGGGUUGAAUGGCAUCAAUUUUGUAAGGCUCAGCUUCAUACAAGAGGAAGGGGAAAGAGUGACAGAGAUUCAGGGCCAGGAGGAGCAUCUGUGGCUUUUUCCUCUUUUAGUCCUGUCUUUGAAUGCCUUGGGUUGAUGAGAGAGAGUUUGAUCUCAGCAAAGGGUGGUUGACUGACAGCCUGUUUGUUCCUUGUGUGCCACUGCUGCAUGAGGAGAAGUGCCUGUGUGUCCGUGGAGUGUAGCGGAAUAGUUUGGAUGUCUACAGCUCUAAGACAGCCUGAUUUGUGCAGAUGGUUUUCCUGACCAGCAGCCCAGGGAUGGCCAUCCUGAAGCUGGGUCAGUAGCUCCAGAACAUUAGGGCUCUGGGUUGGCGUUUCUGCUCUUCUCCUGGCCUUCCCCUCUCGGUUCACAAGGUGGCUGCAACAGCUCUAGCCAUCAUGUCCCCAUACAACUGUGCCCAGAGGCAGGUGCUGGGAGUGGGCCAGGAUAGCAUGUGGGCUCUCUGUACGAACCCUCUUACUUUCAGAGAGGAAAAUCUUUCCCCAAGCCAUAUGUCAUGGCAGAUUUUCCCUCUCGCUUAUUGACCAGAGCUUGUUAUGAUCCCAUCCAUGAAAUAGUAUGUUAAAAGAGAAUGUGUUUAUUAAUUCUGAUGUGGUGAUUUAUGCCCUGACACCAGGCACAUUGCCAAGCAAACAAAAUUGAGAUUCCACCAGCUGGGAAGAAGAGGUAGCAGGAAUGGACCCGGGGUGGGCAAGUCAUAGCAUUCCCCACAAGUUAUUAACACAUUUCCAGUUCGUAAAUGACUUCGUUUGCACCUGCCCCACAUCCAUUCUGCCUCUUUCAGGGAUGCACACAGCUUUCCUUUGGGCGUGGAGGGUGGUGGGAGAUGAUUCUGCCCCCAUCGUUCUAAGGGUGGGAACGUGAUCCAAGCCAGGUGGUGGGGCUCAGUGUCAAGACUUCUGUCUGAGUUUUGGGAAGAGAUGUGUUUGCCUCACCAUGGGGUGUCUUAGAAGGUAGCAUGCCAGCCGGACUGACUGCUGGCUGUCUGCCAAAUGAAUCAGGGAAGCUAACACGGAGGAGAGGGGAAUGGAAGGUGGUGAGAGACGGGUCCAGAUGAAAUUGCUGGACAGACUUCUGCCUGGACCCUUUGGUUACAUGACCUGGUUAGACCACCCUCCCUGAUUCCCUGUGUUCUGUUGCAUCUGUAAGCCCAUCUGAGCCAUGGAAGACUCCUGCUGGGAGUCAGUGCCUAGCAGUGACUUCCUGCUGGAAGUUCCCAGUGAGUUUCUAUGAAAAAGAGAUUAACUUCUCUCAAAGUUUGUCCAUUUGGGAGAGAAAAAGAAGAAACAUCUGUCUUUGGUUAAAAAAAGGCCCUUUCUGCCUUUGGUAGCUGAGAUCCAGGUAAUGCUGUGCUUUGUAGGACAGGAAGCAGCAAGUUUUCUGUCCUGCAAUGAAGGUCAUUCUGGAAGAAGCAGGAAGACCAGAAACAGAGCAGAAGAUAAGACAAACCAACGAAGGAGCCAAGGCCACUCAUCCUCUUGGCCAUCAAAGACCGUACUGCAGGGUGAAGAGCUGUAGGACCGAGGAUGCCAUAGCCCAUGUAACACACAAGCACCUUAUGUCCGGAACUCCUGUAACUAAACAAGAGAAGAUAACCAGUCCCAUAGCAAAGUGGACAUUUCACAAGAGGGGAUAAGCAAAUCAACAUGGAAAGACGCUCAGCCUCACUUGUCAUCAGGAAAACACGAUGGUGGCAGUAGGAGACCUCAGUACAUGUUCCACCAGAAUCCCUAUGGGGAGAAACCCAGGCCUUGCCCCUGGAGCACCUGCUGGAGCAGUUGCCCCCUGCUGGUGGGACAUGAGCAGGGACUUAGCAGAACAGAGCAGUAUUUCUGAGAAGAGUUGAAUGUGCGCGUAUCUAAGCAAUUCUGCUCCUGGGUACAUAUGUGGUUUUAGUGAUGUUGUUUGUGACAGUCCCACACUGGAAAGACUAAAUGUCCAUCAACAGUACACUGUGCAAAACACUAUACACCAAUGAACAGGAGCCAGCUAUUACUACGUUCAACAGGAACGGAGCUCACAGGUCCAAGGCCAGGGACUUGAAAGAAGGCAAGAGAGCUAUCAACGUGCCCGUUAUUUGCAAGAAGAAAUGGCUGUUUCCACCCUGAGUGAUUAGAAGGACCUUGGGCCUCGUCCAGGUUCACACAGGACCUCUGUGGACUUCGCUGCCGUGCAAGGGGAAGGUUGGACCCAGUGAAGGACACUUGCUGGAAGAGGACAGAGGGGACUCCACAGCCC
Lutra lutra (Eurasian river otter) is the source of this 4197-nucleotide RNA transcript. RefSeq lists it as uncharacterized. The record is from RefSeq and is a predicted model, not a curated record. NCBI's taxonomy places the organism in Eukaryota, Metazoa, Chordata, Mammalia, Carnivora, Mustelidae. The transcript is spliced from 5 exons.